GGGAAGGGGGAACGGGAAUGGGAGUGGAGGGAGAUCCCAUCGGGAAGGGGACGGGGAAUGCAACAGGUGGCAGAGGGUGCAGAGGGAGACGGGGAAUGGGAAUGGAACUGGAGGGAGAUGCUGCAGGGGAAGGGGAAAGGGGAAUGGGAAUGGGAGUGGUGGGAUAUGUCGGAGGGGAAUGGGAAGGGGAAUUGGAAGGGGACUGGAGGGAGAUGCCACAGGGAAAAGGGAAAGUUGAAUGGGAUUUGGAAUGGGAUUGGAGGGAGAUGGCACCGGGAAAGGGGAAAGGGGAAUGGGAUUUGGAAUGGGAUUGGAGGGAGAUUCCUCAGGGGAAGGGGAAAGGGAAUAGGAAGCGGACCUGAGGGAAAUGCUGCAGGGGAAUGGGAUUUGGAAUGGGACUGGAGGGAGAUGCCUCAGGGGAAGGGGUUGGAGAAUUGGAAGGGGACUGGAGGGAGAUGCCUCAGGGGAAUGGGUUGGGGAAUUGGAAAGGGACUGGAGGGAGAUGGCAGUGGGGAAGGGGAAAGGGGAAUGGGAAUGGGAGUGGUGGCAUAUGGCGCAGGGGAAGGGGAAAGGGGAAUGGGAAAGGGACUGGAGGGAGAUGGCUCAGGUGAAGGUGAAGGGGAAUUUUAAGGGGACUGCAGGGAGAUGGCACAGGGGAAGUGGAAAGGGGAAUGGGAUUUGGAAUGGGACUGGAGGGCGAUGCUGCGGGGGAAGGGAGAAAGGGAAUUGGAAUGGGAGUGGUGGGAUAUGGCGCAGGGGAAGGGGAUGGGGGAUGGGAAUGGGACAGGAGGGAGAUGGCAGAGGGCAAGGGGAAAGGGGAAUGCGAAUGGGAGUGGAGGGAGAUGGCACAGGGGUAGGGGAAAGGGGAAUGGGAUUUGGAAUGGGACUGGUGGGAGAUGCUUGAUGGGAGGGGAAAAGGGAAUAGGAAAGGGACAGGAGGGAAAUGCUGCAGGGGAAGGGGAAUGGGAUAUGGAAUGGGACUGGGGGGAGAUGCCUCAGGGGAAGGAGAAAGGGGAAUGGGAUUUGGAAUGGGAUUGGAGGGAGAUGCCUCAGGGGAAGGGGAAAGGGGAAUGGGAUUUGGAAUGGGACUGGAGGGAGAUGCCACAGAGAAAGGGGAAAGGGGAAUGGGAUUUGGAAUGGGACUGGAGGGCGAUGCAGCAGUGGAAGGGAAAAGGGAAAUUGGAAUGGGAGUGGUGGGAUAUGGCGCAGGGGAAGGGGAUGGGGAAUAGGAAUGGGACAGGAGGGAGAUUCCUCAGGGGAAGGGAAACGGGAAUGGGAAGGGGACUGGAGGGAGAUGGCACAGGGAAAGGGGAAUGGGAUUUGGAAUGGGAUUGCAGGGAGAUGCCUCAGGGGAAGGGGAAAGGGGAAUGGAAUUUGGAAUGGGACUGGAGGGAGAUGCUGGAAGGGAGGGGAAAAGGGAAUGGGAAAGGGACAGGAGGGAAAUGCUGCAGGGGAAUGGGAAUGGGAUAUGGAAUUGGACUGGAGGGAGAUGUCUCAGGGGAAGGGGAAAGGGGAAUGGGAUUUGGAAUGGUAUUGGAGGGACAUGCCUCAGGGGAAGUGGAAAGGGAAUAGGAAGCGGAUUGGAGGGAGAUGCCACAGGGAAAGGGGAAAGGGGAAUGGGAUUUUCAAUGGGACUGGAGGGCGAUGCUGCAGGGCAAGUGGAAUGGGGAAUGGGAUUUUGAAUGGGAUUGGAGGGAGAUGCCUCAGGGGAAGGGGAAAGGGAAUAGGAAGGGCACUGGAGGGAAAUGCUGCAGGGGAAGGGGAAUGGGAAUGGGACUGGAAGGAGAUGCCUCAGGGGAAGGGGAAAGGGGAAUGGCAAUGCGAUUGGUGGGAUAUUGCGCAUGGGAAUGGGAAGGGGAAUUGGAAGGGGACUGGAGGGAGAUACCACAGGGCAAGGGGAAUGGGAAUUGGAAGGGGACUGGAGGGAGAUGGCACAGGGGAAGCGGAAAGGGGAGUGGGAAUGGGAAUGGGAGUGGUGGGAUACGGCGGAGGGGAAGGGGAAGGGGAAUUGGAAGGGCACUGGAGGGAAAU
Molecule: long non-coding RNA, 2031 nt
Filed under: Numida meleagris (helmeted guineafowl)
Lineage: Eukaryota; Metazoa; Chordata; Aves; Galliformes; Numididae
Description: lncRNA (ENSNMEG00000002405.1)
Source: RNAcentral